UUCUGCCACCGAAUACAUUAGCAUGGGAUAAUGGAAUAGGACCCUGUCCUCCUAUUUUCAGUUGGUUUUGGCAGCGCGAGGACUAGGGUAAUGAUUAAUAGGGAUAGUUGGGGGCAUUAAUAUUUAAUUGUCAGAGGUGAAAUUCUUGGAUUUAUGAAAGAUUAACUUCUGCGAAAGCAUCUGCCAAGGAUGUUUUCAUUAAUCAAGAACGAAAGUUAGGGGAUCGAAGACGAUCAGAUACCGUCGUAGUCUUAACCAUAAACGAUGCCGACCAGCGAUUAGGAGACGUUGAAUACAAAACACCACCAUCGGCGCGGUCGUCCUUGGCGCGUUCGUGUUCACGCACGGGCGCGCGAGGGCGGUUUAGCCCGGUGGCACCGGUGAAUGACUCCCCUAGCAGCUUGUGAGA
This 409-nucleotide ribosomal RNA is filed under the name Acanthamoeba sp. Its description in RNAcentral is "SSU rRNA". It matches the Rfam family "Eukaryotic small subunit ribosomal RNA", at positions 787 to 1095 of the family's 1831-position model. Lineage: Eukaryota; Discosea; Longamoebia; Acanthamoebidae. The record is from RNAcentral.